Molecule: long non-coding RNA, 356 nt
Filed under: Pan troglodytes (chimpanzee)
Lineage: Eukaryota; Metazoa; Chordata; Mammalia; Primates; Hominidae
Description: long non-coding RNA NONPTRT015919
Source: RNAcentral
CAGAGAUGUCUUGUGGGGCUCCCAAGUACUCCAACCUCAAGGAGGGCAUGUGGCAAAGCAUGGCAGGGAAUACUUUCAAAAGUGGAAUCCAGGAAGAAAAUUCCUUGGGAAACUUUGGACUGGAUUCUCAACAAACCCUUCAGAGAGACUUAAAGCUGGUAAAAGACCUUUUGCAAAAGUGAUCCAGGGGAGCCUCCACUUUGUUUCUCUGGAUAUUUCUCUGUUGAAAUAUAGGUGUCAAGCAUGUCCCAUUUUAGAUGCUCUUCAGACUUCAAAACAUUACCUUCCUGCUUUCAGGGAGCCAUUUCAUCAGCUUUUGUACUGUGUAUUCACUGCGGACCCUGCUGUUAUGCAAG